CUAAAUAUCUUGAUAGCUAGCUAAAUAUAAUUUGAAACAAAAUAUUAACUUAGCUAAAUAUUUAGCUAAUAUGCAAAUUUACUUGCUAAUAACCGGAAGUGAACUAUCAAAAUAAGAGUUUGGUCUUAUGAACUUCUUAAUAAACUCCUGCUGGUGAGACUGAAUGGUUUCCUGACGUGUUUUCAUCGUUUCUUUUCCUGUUUUCUUGGUUGAGCCAUUUUGAAGGCAACCCAGACAUUGAUCAACGGACCUGCAGCAACAGGAUUCAGCAACAUUAACCAUACAGGUCCGAUCUACAAGCUGAGGUGAAGCCAGACGCAGCGCCAGCCCUGAGAUCCGCCGGCCUGAGUUUCCCUCCAGGCCGUUCCCGGGAUGAAGGCUCCAGUAUUCCAGGCUUCAUGUGACUCCGGCAAUCACCUCCUCAUUCACCACACUGGCAUCGGUGGUUUUCAGGCCUGAACGAUAACUCAGCUGCUCAGGGUUGACUUUAAUCAUCACCGUCACACUGCGGUGAUUCGCGGAUUUUCUCCUUCCAGUCAACAAAGCCUGUUUACAGUCACAGCAGGUCAGGACCCAUCCGCUGACGUCCGGCGCUCGGGAGAUGACUGACUUUCAUAAUUCAGCUUUUAAUAUCAAAAAUGAAGUUGGGAGUCAGGAACUUUUACUUCAUUACUUUUUAAUUUUCUUUCCAAGUAAACACACUUUCUAGUAAUCCUGCUGACUAACAGAAACUUCAUGCUUUUCUCCAGGUUUUCUUUGAAAAUGUUUUGCAGUUUGAGUAUUUGACCAUUUCCACCAUGUCUGGCUGCUGGUUUAUGACUGGAACCAACCAGCCUCAGAGACUUUGAUGUCUCCUAAACAUGAAGAGACCCGUUGAUUGGACCAAAACAGAACUUUCUUACAGAGCCAGCUUUAUAUCGGAUCUUUGGGUUCUAACGCCGUUUGGUUUUUACUGGCUGCUCAGAUGAGCAAAACGAACAUUUAGAUACAAACUUUCAGUAAUUAUUAACCAUUAGUACUAUUUAUGUGUUUGUAUUAUUUAAAUAUUUAUUCUGGGAAGAGAUGGAGAUUUGAGUCACAAAAAUAAAUAACUUGACUUGGACUUGUGUUCUGAGACUCGAGUUUUCCUGUGAAAAGUUGAGUUUAAAUAGCCAGUGAAGUUGGCAGAUUAUUAUGGGAUGUUAAGGCUUCGUAUUAAUCAUUUCCUUUUAGUUGUGUCUUCAUAUUAAUGAAAGUCUCUCCAGUUGAAUGUGUUAAAUGGUUUUGGUCAUUUCAGAGAGAAAUAAACGUAACUGACCUUCAACUUUCUCUCCUGCUGCAUCAAAAGGACACUUCCUGUUGGAAAUGUCAAAAUAAGAGCACUGUUCAUUCAGAAGUUCAAUCAGCCGGUAGUACUGUGUUUAUUAAUCUCCGAAAUAUUUACUAUUUGUCAUGCCGGACCCCCAUCUUGCACAUUUACUGAUAUUUUAUCCGUUCUUGGAUUAUAGUCUGAGUUUUGGAUCCGAUUUGUAUAUGAAUAAUACAUUUUGUUGUAAUUUAUACCCUAAACCUGAAUGUAUUUUCUAUUUAAAAUCGUGAAAAGUUUUAGAAAACUGUGGCGUAUUUACCCGGAUUUAUCUGAGUUGGUACGAGCCUUAUUCUGACACACUGCGCAUGUGCAGGUUCUCUCGGCGUUUACCAUGGAAAUGCCACAAAAAUAAAGAUAUACGGAAAACGGUCGGAGCCUCUUCUGUUAAUUAAGACAUUACAGAAAUAAUUCCCCAACAUUAUUAAAACUUCUCCAGGUCAGAGUUUGGAAAUCCGUCCAAACCAAUUUGGAUUAAUAAAUUACGCAGAUUUUAACGCGUUAAAUUAUUAUUUUUAAUACAAAGACUCGGGCCGCAGCUGCCCUGGUUCCGUUGUGUUCAGGUUGUGCUAAGGAGUUAGCCUGUUAGCGAAGCUAUUCAGGGAUAAACUGGCGUCUUAAUGCUAAACCUGCUAGCAGCAGAUGCUAACGCUAAUGUCAGCGUCUUCAUUUCUAGAAGCUCCAAAAUCUGAAUAACUUUAACAACUAUAAAUAUUAACUGCUAUUCCUCCAUCUUUAGUUAUUCUCGCUCAUUUCUGCGUGUUUAUGUUCUGGUUCUGACCCAUUUGGACCGGGCUGGAGAUUUUUUCUGUUGCAAAAACACAGAAAACAAACCAAGAGAAAACAGAAGAAACGACGCAGCCCUCGUAGAUAACUGUUUUUUAUUUGCACGUCCACUGAGUGUUAACAAACCCAACACAGAGGUUAGCAUCCAGGUCUACAGCAGGGGGCGCUCAAACACACGAAAGCUCUGAGGACAACAGACAGGAAGGAAACCAGCGAACAAAUUCACAUCUGUACAAAUCUACAGUGUGUUGGUCUGCGGGGAGCUCCGCUCAGAGGAAAGCUGCAAAAGGUUCAGGUGAGGCGCAGAUUUACACGAGUUAAUGUCUGUGGAGCAGCUGCGGCUGGAUUAACGUUAAACAGACUAAACUGCAUCAGCAGUCCGCGUUAAACCCAAACUGGCUUCUCUCUGGUCACAGAGCCGAGGGAAACAGAACCAAGCGGGGAAACGGCGCCAUCUGGUGGCGGAUCGCUCACAAGGAUCAACGGGGAGGAGGGAAGAGGCGGACGGCGUGAAGCAGAGAACAGAUGAGGCUGCGCCCCCAGGAAAAGGUCAAAACUUCAUU
Long non-coding RNA from Xiphophorus couchianus (Monterrey platyfish), 2694 nucleotides. RefSeq lists it as uncharacterized. The record is from RefSeq and is a predicted model, not a curated record. NCBI's taxonomy places the organism in Eukaryota, Metazoa, Chordata, Actinopteri, Cyprinodontiformes, Poeciliidae. The transcript has 2 exons.